GGGUUGCUAACUCAAUGGUAGAGUACUCGGCUUUUAACUUUCAUCCGAUGAGUUCCGGGUUCGAGCCCCGGGCAACCCA
Molecule: transfer RNA, 79 nt
Filed under: Osmunda japonica
Lineage: Eukaryota; Viridiplantae; Streptophyta; Polypodiopsida; Osmundales; Osmundaceae
Description: tRNA-Lys
Rfam family: tRNA
About the family: Transfer RNA (tRNA) molecules are approximately 80 nucleotides in length. Their secondary structure includes four short double-helical elements and three loops (D, anti-codon, and T loops).
Source: RNAcentral